GGAAGUGGCUCAGUGGUAGAGCACUUGCCUAGCACGUGCAAGGUCCUGGGUUCGAUCCUCAGCUCCA
Molecule: transfer RNA, 67 nt
Filed under: Marmota monax (woodchuck)
Lineage: Eukaryota; Metazoa; Chordata; Mammalia; Rodentia; Sciuridae
Description: tRNA.Ala
Rfam family: tRNA
About the family: Transfer RNA (tRNA) molecules are approximately 80 nucleotides in length.
Source: RNAcentral